CCCUUAGAUGUUCUGGGCCGCACGCGUGCUACACUGAGUAAUUCAAUGGGUAAGGGAACGCUAGAGCAUUACCUAAUCUUGAAAUUUGCUCGUGAUGGGGAUCGACGGUUGCAAUUUUCCGUCGUGAACGAGGAAUACCUUGUAGGCGCAUGUCAUCGUCAUGCGCCGAAUACGUCCCUGCCCUUUGUACACACCGCCCGUCGCUCCUACCGAUUGAGUGAUCCGGUGAGGCUCUGGGACCUGGACGGAAAGAGCGUUUCGCUUGUUCUGUUUGGGAAACUUGGUCGAACCUUAUCAUUUAGAGGAAGGAGAAGUCGUAACA
Molecule: ribosomal RNA, 322 nt
Filed under: uncultured eukaryote
Lineage: Eukaryota
Description: partial 18S ribosomal RNA
Rfam family: Eukaryotic small subunit ribosomal RNA
Source: RNAcentral